UCAGAUCUUCUUUUGUUUGUGAUACUUAGCUUUGAUUGAGAGAUGAUGAUAGAAAAAUAAAAGAUUUCAUUUGUGACUUUUGGGAAACUCCACCACCCACCGACAGCAAAAUCCCUCCUCACAACGGUGGUCUGAUAAUGACCAGAUAAGAUGGGAUGAGCCGGAAGUAAUGACCGGAAAUAUGUUUGUUUGUUUGUUUUGUUUUGUGUGUUUAAGCGUAUGAACUUGGGAAUGCUUAUUGUGAUGUGGGAAUUCGUAGAAUUUGAGUAUGAAUUACUUGAUUAAAGUCGAAGAAUUUGGGGAAAGCAAAGUUGAUUUGAGUUUAGGAAAGAUUGAGUUUACUCCAUGGAGUUUCGUGAAUGGAUUUGCGGAUUUAGGUGAAAAAGGUGUUGAUUAAAGUAGUCAUAACUCAUAGGCAAAGUUUGGUGUUGCUAGGUGACAAGUUUCUCAAAAGCGUCAGUGGAUGUAUGGAGAGAAAAAAUUAUACUCGUAUAAAAAAAUUUGAAAAUAAAAAUAAAUAAGAGAAACUUAAAAAAUUUAAAUUAAGUGUAGUUUAAGAGGACUUUUGAUUAAGUAAAUUGUAAUAAGUUUUUAGGAAUUUUGUUCUUCUUUUUAAAUAAGUUUUAGUUAUAAAUAGGCCUCAGUUUUUUGUUUCGCUUUAGAUCUCAGCAUGGCUUGAGCCGUUACUGUACAGUACCACUUUAAGCACUCUAUCCUCUCCACUUUUUCAUAUUUCUCACACCAAACUCAAACAUUGCUUUCGUUAUCAUUUCUUGUAUUUAAGCUUUUGUUUUGAUUGAUAAUAUUUUGGAUUCUUCGAUUCCUCAUGUUAAAGAAUGCAACUACGAUUCAAGAUCGAUGUAAUUUAUUCUUUUGGUCUUCCCUUGGUGGCUUGAUGCAGUCCAACGGUCCAACCAACUUAAAACUGGUGUCCAAUUUGAUCAGCCCAAUUAGAAUUGGACUCUUUGGUGUUCCCCCGUGGUGUCAAGCGAAGGGAUUUGAAAUACAAACCGUCUCUGUAAUUGUCUUCAGAAAUUGACUGUGUUUAUAUAUAUUUCACAGAGUUCGAAUCAGCUUUGAGUUUGGUGGUGGUAAAUUGAAAGGGAAGAUGAUUAGAGCUACUUCCCUGCAGUCCUUUAAGCUUAGAACACAGGAAAUAAAGCGAGGCGAUUGGUGUGAAUUCUAUGGGAAUCGAAGUAACCGACCAAAUCGAUUGUCAUAUUUUAUUUGGAGUGUCAAUUCCACUUAUCUACUUAUAAAUGGGUCACUUUGGGCUGUGGUUUACCUUUAACGGGUCAAAUGGGUCCAAAAAGAUGUAGCUGAAAAAUAUCAGGACAACAAAUUGGAAUAACCAGUAUUCGGUAUCUUCUAAUGUUCAUACCACUUAUUCGUUCUUAGUUUUGGAAUAACCUUUCUUCUUUGUAACCUACUUCAAUGGAGAACAUUUGGAACCAUUAUUCGAAAGCAUCAUGGAGCCAUACCAUAGAUAUCAAUUUUUGGGCCGCCUUUAGGUGAUCUCUAUAGUUCAAGUUUUUUUUCAAUUCCGGAUUGUGGCUGCUGAAGAAGCUUAAGUACAUGUUGCAUUCAUUACUUGACUUAAGAAUACACGUUGCAUUCAUCAAUUGACUUUCCAAGGUCUGCUGACAAUUCGAGAUUGGAUACUCUGGUGGAUGAGGACGCAAAAGAAAAUCUGGGGCCCAUGAAGAUAAGUCGCAGGAAAUGGCGCAUUGCGGAUUUUGAGUCGGAUGAAGAGGCUCGCGUCAGCGUGGUAGCCAAGAACAGUCCACGCCAGCAUGGAUAAAGCCUUCAGACAUGUCAGAUGCCGUAUGUUUUAAUUUUUAUAUUUCAUAGGUAACAAGUUGAGAUCAGGUUGGGUAACGGGUUGAAUUGGCCGUGUUUUAAUAUGGAUCAUAACGGGCUUGGGCAGGUUUUGUAACAAGCAUUGGUUGUCCAAUUUUCAAUAUAUGAAUAGUUCAUUAUUUAUGAUCUGAAAACAAUUUUAUUGCAACAAUUAUCUAUAUCUUGGAAAACGAUA
Molecule: long non-coding RNA, 2035 nt
Organism: Erigeron canadensis
Lineage: Eukaryota; Viridiplantae; Streptophyta; Magnoliopsida; Asterales; Asteraceae
Exons: 9
Source: RefSeq, a predicted model, not a curated record